Molecule: microRNA, 20 nt
Filed under: Populus trichocarpa (black cottonwood)
Lineage: Eukaryota; Viridiplantae; Streptophyta; Magnoliopsida; Malpighiales; Salicaceae
Also listed under: 1 other name
Description: ptc-miR6476b
Source: miRBase by way of RNAcentral
UCAGUGGAGAUGAAACAUGA